This 399-nucleotide RNase P RNA is filed under the name Arthrobacter sp. RIT-PI-e. RNAcentral's name for it is "Bacterial RNase P class A". It matches the Rfam family "Bacterial RNase P class A". From Rfam's summary of the family: Ribonuclease P (RNase P) is a ubiquitous endoribonuclease, found in archaea, bacteria and eukarya as well as chloroplasts and mitochondria. Its best characterised activity is the generation of mature 5'-ends of tRNAs by cleaving the 5'-leader elements of precursor-tRNAs. The record is from Rfam by way of RNAcentral. Lineage: Bacteria; Bacillati; Actinomycetota; Actinomycetes; Micrococcales; Micrococcaceae.
UGGGUCGACCAGGCGGCCGCGUUGGACGGUGCGUCAGUAUCCGCUCCACCGAGGAACGUCCGGGCUCCGCAGGGCAGGGUGGUGGGUAACGCCCACUCGGGGUGACCCGCAGGCCAGUGCCACAGAAAAGAGACCGCCGGCUUCAGGUGCUCCGGUGCCCGGGCCGGUAAGGGUGAAAAGGUGGUGUAAGAGACCACCAGCACGCCGGGUGACCGGCGUGGCUCGGUAAACCCCACCCGGAGCAAGGCCAGACAGUGCGCGUGAUCAGGGCUGCCCGCCCGAGUGCACGGGUAGGCCGCUGGAGGGCGUCGGCAACGGCGCUCGUAGAUGGAUGGUCGCCACUCGCGGGACGGCGACGUCCCGCGAUGACAGAACCCGGCGUACCGGUCGACCCAUCCC